ACAAAAAGGUAUCAUAUAUUAUAUCAAAUAUGUUGCAUUACAAAGAAUAUGGUCAAAAGUUUACAAAAUGUGAAACUAUCUACUAGUAGUUGCCUAAUUCUCAACCUUGCAGCCAACUCCUCAACUAUUCUAAAACAUAAUGUCUGAAACAUUGACCACAAAAAUCACAUUCUAAUUGUAUAUUAGCAGCCCCAUUCUCGACCUUGGAAUCAACAUUUGAGCCAUGCAUAAUCCAUUCAUUUUUGUCAAUCUACAACAAUGAAAGAAAUGAGAUGAGCAACUAACAGUAGAGAAAAGCAGGUCAACAGAUCAGUAGUAAAAUUUAAAGGAGGAGCUCCUUACAAAUGAUGAAGACGACAUCAGUAGCCUCUGUACGCAGAAAAAUAGCCUACAUUUGACAAACACUUUGAUCAUUGUGUUUUCUUAUGAACAAACUUGCUAUAUGUCAAACCUUUAAAAGAACAUACUAAGUAAGAAACAAGUUACCUCUCUUGAAUAAAAUCAUUUACUGACAUACCACACGUCCUUCGUUUCCUAAGAAAAUUUGUUGUGGUCCAGAAAAUACAAGUAGAUGCAAGAUUUCAACAAUUUUGAAACACUUCAAAGAAAAUAAUGAACACCAGGAUGAUACAUUAUAUUUCUCCUAAUUGCCCUGCACAAGUCCUGAAUAUCCACCGCUUAUCUAAAUAAGAAUAUGCAUAAGACAACACAUGCUCAUUUACUAAAUUAACUAAGUUCUAGAAUAAGUGAGUACAGGGAAAAUAUGGCUUAUAUUUAUUUAUAUAAAACCAAAACAAAUUGUACCGAAUAGGGAAAAUCAAUAACUCAAACCUCUGCUUUGUGGAGGCUAUGUCAAAGC
RNAcentral lists this long non-coding RNA (859 nucleotides) under Triticum aestivum (bread wheat). RNAcentral describes it as "long non-coding RNA (TAES_LNC003335)". The record is from RNAcentral. Lineage: Eukaryota; Viridiplantae; Streptophyta; Magnoliopsida; Poales; Poaceae.